This 495-nucleotide ribosomal RNA is filed under the name uncultured bacterium. RNAcentral describes it as "partial 16S ribosomal RNA". It matches the Rfam family "Bacterial small subunit ribosomal RNA", at positions 28 to 507 of the family's 1533-position model. The record is from RNAcentral.
GACGAACGCUGGCGGCGUGCCUAAUACAUGCAAGUAGAACGCUGAAGGAGGAGCUUGCUUCUCCGGAUGAGUUGCGAACGGGUGAGUAACGCGUAGGUAACCUGCCUGGUAGCGGGGGAUAACUAUUGGAAACGAUAGCUAAUACCGCAUAAGAGUAGAUGUCGCAUGACAUUUGCUUAAAAGGUGCAACUGCACCACUACCAGAUGGACCUGCGUUGUAUUAGCUAGUUGGUGAGGUAACGGCUCACCAAGGCAACGAUACAUAGCCGACCUGAGAGGGUGAUCGGCCACACUGGGACUGAGACACGGCCCAGACUCCUACGGGAGGCAGCAGUAGGGAAUCUUCGGCAAUGGACGGAAGUCUGACCGAGCAACGCCGCGUGAGUGAAGAAGGUUUUCGGAUCGUAAAGCUCUGUUGUAAGAGAAGAACGAGCGUGAGAGUGGAAAGUUCACACUGUGACGGUAUCUUACCAGAAAGGGACGGCUAACUACGUG